AUGGCCCUGACUGAAGACCAGCAGUUAGUUAUAGCUGUUGGUUUCAAGCAGAGGCCUAAAGGAUUGUCUUCCUGUGGUUUGUUGGCUAUUCUGGAACCUCAGUGGAGAAUGGCUAUUUGAUUUGGAAGAAACAGUU
Small nucleolar RNA from Dipodomys ordii (Ord's kangaroo rat), 136 nucleotides. The record is from Ensembl. Lineage: Eukaryota; Metazoa; Chordata; Mammalia; Rodentia; Heteromyidae.